GAAGUUAUAAGUUAAAUCUAAACUAUUAUCCUUCAAAGAUAAUCAUGGGGUCUUUCUCUAACUUUG
Molecule: transfer RNA, 66 nt
Filed under: Laemobothrion tinnunculi
Lineage: Eukaryota; Metazoa; Arthropoda; Insecta; Psocodea; Laemobothriidae
Description: tRNA-Trp
Source: RNAcentral